This 299-nucleotide unclassified non-coding RNA is filed under the name plant metagenome. Its description in RNAcentral is "partial contains 5.8S ribosomal RNA, internal transcribed spacer 2, and large subunit ribosomal RNA". The stretch from base 1 to 105 matches the Rfam family "5.8S ribosomal RNA", at positions 50 to 154 of the family's 154-position model. The record is from RNAcentral.
GAAAUGCGAUAAGUAAUGUGAAUUGCAGAAUUCAGUGAAUCAUCGAAUCUUUGAACGCUCAUUGCGCCCCCUGGUAUUCCGGGGGGCAUGCCUGUUCGAGCGUCAUUUCACCACUCAAGCCUCGCUUGGUAUUGGGCGACGCGGUCCGCCGCGCGCCUCAAAUCGACCGGCUGGGUCUUCCGUCCCCUCAGCGUUGUGGAAACUAUUCGCUAAAGGGUGCCGCGGGAGGUCACGCCGCAAAACAACCCCAUUUCUAAGGUUGACCUCGGAUCAGGUAGGGAUACCCGCUGAACUUAAGC